This 158-nucleotide ribosomal RNA is filed under the name Rafnia ovata. RNAcentral describes it as "5.8S ribosomal RNA". It matches the Rfam family "5.8S ribosomal RNA". Rfam says of the family: 5.8S ribosomal RNA (5.8S rRNA) is a component of the large subunit of the eukaryotic ribosome. The record is from RNAcentral. RNAcentral also lists the same sequence under 18 other names. Lineage: Eukaryota; Viridiplantae; Streptophyta; Magnoliopsida; Fabales; Fabaceae.
GACUCUCGGCAACGGAUAUCUCGGCUCUUGCAUCGAUGAAGAACGUAGCGAAAUGCGAUACUUGGUGUGAAUUGCAGAAUCCCGUGAACCAUCGAGUCUUUGAACGCAAGUUGCGCCCGAAGCCAUUAGGCUGAGGGCACGCCUGCCUGGGUGUCGCC